Non-coding RNA from Podarcis lilfordi (Lilford's wall lizard), 82 nucleotides. The record is from the annotation of a GenBank genome assembly. Lineage: Eukaryota; Metazoa; Chordata; Lepidosauria; Squamata; Lacertidae.
GCUGGGAUAGCUAAGUCAGUAAAGCAUGAGACUCUUAAUCUCAGAGUCAUGAGUUCGAGCCCAACAUUGGAGAAAUCCUGCA